AAAACCAGCCCAACAUUAAUGUGAGAUGGUACAAUUAAAGAGGAUGAAUAGCAAGAAGUUGAAAACUUAUGUCCGCAUAAAAACUUACACAUGGAUAUUAUAGCAGCUUUAUCAAGAUUACUAGAAAUUGGAAGCAACACAUGUCCUGCAGUAGACCAGAAAAUAGCAUCAUAGUUCCUGGAUAAAACUGACAAAGUAGGCAUCUCAGAAUGGAGCUUAUGUCUUCAACUACAUAGUUAACAAAUGCUGGCACUUUGAUAUCCCUGAAGAUAUAAUUAACAGCACAAACACUGUUAUGUGGAUCCUGAUUUACUAAUAGUUUUCUAAAAAUCCAUAAGGUAUAUCACUAUCCAUAACAAUCAGAACAGCUACCAACAAAAGUUGCUAAACCUCUCAAUGAUCAGUGGGUAAAACUUGCUCAAAUGCUCAUGUGCGAUCAUCACAUUUACCUCAAAAGUUCAUAUGGUUACUGUCAUAGAGAACAAGCUCCCAUUAAUCUAAAAUCACCUAAAAAUAGACAGAAAUCCAUUCUAGUUAAAAACAACAUACUCCCAUCUAUUUCCCCAGGCAGCCAAUUUGGCAUCAGAAAAUAUCCAUCAAAAUAUAAAACCUUUGUUCUUUUUUUUCCCCCUCACAAUCAAAAUAGAAAAAAGAGUACAGGUCACUGUUCAAAUAAUUUAUGUGAAAGUCUUUAUUGAUCAAAGCUUUGGUUUUAGUGAUUAAAUGAUUCUAAAUAAACUAGGCAUUAUUUCAAAAGGCAAUUAUUUUAAAUUUCCUUCACUUUGUUUUUUAAUUCACGCUGGAAAACUAAAUACAUUCACUUAUACAAUAUAUUUCUGUUGUCUAUAGUUUUAUUGUGAUUUAUCUAACUAAUAUUCUUUUUCUUUUUUUAAGAUUCUAUUUAUUUACUCAUGAGAGACACAGAGAGAGAGAGAGAGAGAGGCAGAGACACAG
Long non-coding RNA from Canis lupus familiaris (dog), 954 nucleotides. RefSeq lists it as uncharacterized. NCBI's taxonomy places the organism in Eukaryota, Metazoa, Chordata, Mammalia, Carnivora, Canidae. The transcript is spliced from 3 exons. The record is from RefSeq and is a predicted model, not a curated record.